GGAAAAGAGAUACAGAUGACGUGA
RNAcentral lists this non-coding RNA (24 nucleotides) under Gossypium hirsutum (cotton). The record is from RNAcentral. Lineage: Eukaryota; Viridiplantae; Streptophyta; Magnoliopsida; Malvales; Malvaceae.